This 537-nucleotide long non-coding RNA is filed under the name Homo sapiens (human). RNAcentral describes it as "non-protein coding lnc-NCOA1-2:2". The record is from RNAcentral. Lineage: Eukaryota; Metazoa; Chordata; Mammalia; Primates; Hominidae.
GACGCCGUGACCUUGGCCGGCCCGCUCACCUCUCGGAAUCUCGCCUGCCGGGACCGCGAAAUGGGGGCGACCGCGGCGUCCCUCUCCGUCGGCGCAGCCCUCGACGGCGCUUGGGUUUGACCCCGGCGCGCUUGCUCGCCCCUUCUCCCGAGAAGGGGUUUCGGAGGAGCAGAGGUUUAAUAGGCAAGAGAAAGAGAAAGGAAAACAGCUCUCUCUCUAAUGAGAGAGAGGGGACUUCGGAGAGGAAAAGAGGACAGGAGAUACGGCAAUCGUGGAUAGGAAAGGAGGAAAUUACGAUAGAAAAGUUGGAGAUCCUUUUGCUAACACCCCUUUGGGCAGUUGGAUGCUGAGUUCCAGGAUACACGUGCCAGAUCUGCAGGUUUGUUACACAGAUCUAUCCAUACUAAUGGAAAUGUAACUGGAACUGACUCUGAUGAUAAAAUCAAGGACCAUCAAGCAAGAUCAUGCAGUAGGCAACUUUGCUUCCAAAAGAAGUUACCAACAUUUAGAAUUUCUACUUAUUCUGAGGUUCCAGUU